GCGGCGGACGGGUGAGUAACACGUGGGUAACCUGCCCAUAAGACUGGGAUAACUCCGGGAAACCGGGGCUAAUACCGGAUAACAUUUUGAACUGCAUGGUUCGAAAUUGAAAGGCGGCUUCGGCUGUCACUUAUGGAUGGACCCGCGUCGCAUUAGCUAGUUGGUGAGGUAACGGCUCACCAAGGCAACGAUGCGUAGCCGACCUGAGAGGGUGAUCGGCCACACUGGGACUGAGACACGGCCCAGACUCCUACGGGAGGCAGCAGUAGGGAAUCUUCCGCAAUGGACGAAAGUCUGACGGAGCAACGCCGCGUGAGUGAUGAAGGCUUUCGGGUCGUAAAACUCUGUUGUUAGGGAAGAACAAGUGCUAGUUGAAUAAGCUGGCACCUUGACGGUACCUAACCAGAAAGCCACGGCUAACUACGUGCCAGCAGCCGCGGUAAUACGUAGGUGGCAAGCGUUAUCCGGAAUUAUUGGGCGUAAAGCGCGCGCAGGUGGUUUCUUAAGUCUGAUGUGAAAGCCCACGGCUCAACCCGUGGAGGGUCAUUGGAAACUGGGAGACUUGAGUGCAGAAGAGGAAAGUGGAAUUCCAUGUGUAGCGGUGAAAUGCGUAGAGAUAUGGAGGAACACCAGUGGCGAAGGCGACUUUUUGGUCUGUAACUGACACUGAGGCGCGAAAGCGUGGGGGAGCAAACAGGAUUAGAUACCCUGGUAGUUCACGCCGUAAACGGAUGAGUGCUAAAGUGUUAGAGGGUUUCCGCCCUUUAGUGCUGAAGUUUAACGCAUUAAGCACUCCGCCUGGGGAGUACGGCCGCAAGGCUGAAACUCAAAGGAAUUGACGGGGGCCCGCACCAGCGGUGGAGCAUGUGGUUUAAUUUGAAGCAACGCGAAGAACCUUACCAGGUCUUGACAUCCUUUGAAAACCCUAGAGAUAGGGCUUUUCCUUCGGGAGCAGAGUGACAGGUGGUGCAUGGUUGUUGUCAGCUCGUGUCGUGAGAUGUUGGGUUAAGUCCCGCAACGAGCGCAACCCUUGAUUUUAGUUGCCAUCAUUAAGUUGGGCACUUUAAGGUGACUGCCGGUGACAAACCGGAGGAAGGUGGGGAUGACGUCAAAUCAUCAUGCCCCUUAUGACCUGGGCUACACACGUGCUACAAUGGACGGUACAAAGAGCUGCAAGACCGCGAGGUGGAGCUAAUUUCAUAAAACCGUUUUCAGUUCGGAUUGUAGGCUGCAACUUGCCUACAUGAAGCUGGAAUCGCUUGUAAUCGCGGAUCAGCAUGCCGCGGUGAAUACGUUCCCGGGCCUUGUACACACCGCCCGUCAC
RNAcentral lists this ribosomal RNA (1324 nucleotides) under bacterium E2-35. RNAcentral's name for it is "bacterial SSU rRNA". It matches the Rfam family "Bacterial small subunit ribosomal RNA", at positions 95 to 1400 of the family's 1533-position model. The record is from RNAcentral.